This 1330-nucleotide long non-coding RNA is filed under the name Sus scrofa (pig). Its description in RNAcentral is "lncRNA (ENSSSCG00050005572.1)". Lineage: Eukaryota; Metazoa; Chordata; Mammalia; Artiodactyla; Suidae. The record is from RNAcentral.
CAGAGUCCGGCUUUGGGGCACCCCACAAAUGUUGGCUGAGCGAAAGCAGGAAUGAACAGCAACUAACCCAGUUUGACUGGUCCGGCCUGCUGAUCUCAUUCCCCAGGAGUCCCACUGCCCGAGGAUCACGAAGACCAUGGUCUGGAUGAAGUGGGUUUCUCAGCCACAAGGAAACAUUGAAAGAUUACAAUGGGAAGCUGUGCGCUGCUUCCUUUCCACUUGACUUCCAGAUGUGUGAAACUGGGCGAGCUUCCUCUUUUCCUGCAGAGCUUGAAUUCUGUGAAGGGGCAGUGUGGGCUCUGUCAGAACCACGCCCUCCACGCCCCCCACCUUCUCUCCAGAGAAAAGGCAAACAAGUGUGAACAGCCAGGAGGUGAAGAGGAGCCAGCCAAGAACAAAUGCGAGCCACAGCCACACAAUCCCCUUUGCGGGGCUGCUGUCCACAAAGGGGAGGAUGAGAUGGACCCCAAAUGAGGGGCCUCAUUCACCUCCUCGCAGCUACAAAGAGGGGACCUUCAGAAGCCCUCUGCCUGGACUAGCUCGCCCCGCCCCCCCACCCCCACCCCCGCUCUGUCUGUCCUGGUAGAUUAAAGGUGGUGACGGCGAUGUGAUGGACAGCUCCCAGACCUCAGUGAUGUCACAUGAUACAAUCCAGGGCGGGUCACAGGAAACUGCUCCACGCAGGCCUCCAGGGACCCAGGCUCCUUCUGUCUUGUGGUUCCACAGUCCCCGGGGCCGUGGAGUUCUCUGCUGGACCAUCUGUGUCCAGCUGAAAAUGUAAGAGGAGAGAGGCCAGAGGAUUAUGUGGAAGGUUUCCUAGGCCAAGGCUGGAGGGGCCUAUACCACCUUCCUCCACAUGAAGCAUCAGGGGGACGGGGAGAUGUGGUCUCCAGGCGUUAGAGGCUGAACUGUGUCCCCCUCACCCCAAAAGAUAUCUUCAAGUCCUAACUCUCAGUAUCUUAGAACAUGACCUUGUUUGGAAAUAGGGUCUUUACAGAGGUGAUCAAAUUAAAAUGAGGUCAUCAGAGUGGGUCCUAAUCCAACAGGACCAGUGUCCUUAUCCAAAAGGAAAAUUUGGGAGUUCCCACUGUGGCUCAGCAAUAACAAAUGAGACAAGUAUCCAUGAGGAUGUGGCUUCAAUCCCUGGCCUCGCUCAGUGGGUUAAGGAUCUGGUGUUGCCAUGAGCUGUAGUGUAAGUGGCAGACACAGCUUGGAUCCUGAGUUGCUGUGUCUGUGGCAAAGGCCAGCAGCUGCGACUCCGAUUCAACCCUAGCCUGGUAUGCUGCAGGUGCUGGCCCUAAAAAGACCAAAAAAAAAAGAAAAGAAAAAA